AGUGAACGCUGGCGGUAGGCCUAACACAUGCAAGUCGAACGGCAGCACAGUAAGAGCUUGCUCUUACGGGUGGCGAGUGGCGGACGGGUGAGGAAUACAUCGGAAUCUACUUUUUCGUGGGGGAUAACGUAGGGAAACUUACGCUAAUACCGCAUACGACCUACGGGUGAAAGCAGGGGAUCUUCGGACCUUGCGCGAUUGAAUGAGCCGAUGUCGGAUUAGCUAGUUGGCGGGGUAAAGGCCCACCAAGGCGACGAUCCGUAGCUGGUCUGAGAGGAUGAUCAGACACACUGGAACUGAGACACGGUCCAGACUCCUACGGGAGGCAGCAGUGUGGAAUAUUGGACAAUGGGCGCAAGCCUGAUCCAGCCAUACCGCGUGGGUGAAGAAGGCCUUCGGGUUGUAAAGCCCUUUUGUUGGGAAAGAAAAGCAGCAGGUUAAUACCCCGCUGUUCUGACGGUACCCAAAGAAUAAGCACCGGCUAACUUCGUG
Molecule: ribosomal RNA, 492 nt
Filed under: uncultured bacterium
Lineage: Bacteria
Description: partial 16S ribosomal RNA
Rfam family: Bacterial small subunit ribosomal RNA
Source: RNAcentral